AUGCUGCUGUGCACUUGCGCGAGCCGUCUGCGCUGCGCGCUGUGCGAUGCGGGGGCGGACGUGCACUGCCAGGCCGACGCGGCGUUCCUCUGCGCGCCGUGCGACGCCAAGGUGCACGGCGCCAACUUCCUCGCGUCCCGCCACCGCCGCACGCGUGUCCAGCCGCCCAACCACGUCCGCGUGCUCUGCAGGGCGGCGCUCCAGCUUUGGGCCAGGCAGAUGGGCCUGGACGCUCGGGCUGCGCGCCUGUGUGCCGCAGCAGCCGGCCGCACGCUCCUGCUCGAGUUCACGGCCGCGCCGCCGCAAAUGCUGCUGCGCGUCGCUAUGGCUGCCGCGCUGUGGAGCGAGGUGGCGGCUCACGGCGGAGUCCACAAGCCCCGCCACGCGCUCAAGCGCCUCGAAGCCUGCGCACGCGUGCCGGCGAGUUCUCUUGUGGUGGUGGCAACCGCGAUCGGGCGCGCCCGCCUAGUAAGGACGGCCGGAGUGGACGCCAAGGAGGAUUCCGUCGAGUGCUUGAUCGUGAGCCCACGCAAGACACCACAAGAGCUUUGCUUAUUCGUUUAG
Molecule: ribosomal RNA, 564 nt
Filed under: Triticum aestivum (bread wheat)
Lineage: Eukaryota; Viridiplantae; Streptophyta; Magnoliopsida; Poales; Poaceae
Description: partial small subunit ribosomal RNA
Source: RNAcentral